CUGAUUUACUGCAAGUUUAAGAUGAAAAUCAAGGUUGUUCUCAUUUAACGAAGAGUUGACACGUGAGAGGAAAACAUGCUGAUUUCUAACAAAAUUUAUACAAUGCUUAUUUACAUCUAACUCCAAAGAUAGCAACUUUGAGCACAUCUAAACUACGUCGAAACUAACCAGGAUCAGAAUACUUAUGGCCGUGCUUCUUAUGUUUCUUCUCAGCCUUUUUCUUAUUCUUACUUCCUCCAGCUGCCUUUGCGCCGCCUCCUUCGCUUCCACCCGCCUUUUGCCUGUUCC
This 288-nucleotide long non-coding RNA is filed under the name Salvia miltiorrhiza (redroot sage). RNAcentral's name for it is "long non-coding RNA (SMIL_LNC001654)". Lineage: Eukaryota; Viridiplantae; Streptophyta; Magnoliopsida; Lamiales; Lamiaceae. The record is from RNAcentral.